GAGCGUAGAUGGAUGUUUAAGUCAGUUGUGAAAGUUUGCGGCUCAACCGUAAAAUUGCAGUUGAUACUGGGAUGUCUGAGUGCAGUUGAGGCAGGCGGAAUUCGUGGUGUAGCGGUGAAAUGCUUAGAUAUCACGAAGAACUCCGAUUGCGAAGGCAGCCUGCUAAGCUGCAACUGACAUUGAGGCUCGAAAGUGUGGGUAUCAAACAGGAUUAGAUACCCUGGUAGUCCACACGGUAAACGAUGAAUACUCGCUGUUUGCGAUAUACGGCAAGCGGCCAAGCGAAAGCGUUAAGUAUUCCACCUGGGGAGUACGCCGGCAACGGUGAAACUCAAAGGAAUUGACGGGGGCCCGCACAAGCGGAGGAACAUGUGGUUUAAUUCGAUGAUACGCGAGGAA
Molecule: ribosomal RNA, 399 nt
Filed under: uncultured bacterium
Lineage: Bacteria
Description: bacterial SSU rRNA
Rfam family: Bacterial small subunit ribosomal RNA
Source: RNAcentral